UCUUAGAAACAUCAAGUUCAUAACCGAAAAUGGAAUAAAUUACGAAGUUGAAAUUACUAUUCAUUCCAAUAGUAACUUGAGCCUUUCAUUUACGAAAGUGAAUAGUCAAAUUUCAUUUUCUAUUUUGUUACAAGUACCCCAGUAUUUUCUUAUGUCCAUUGGGGAAAUUAUGUUUUCCGUUACAGGAGCAUCGUAUUUCUAUUGUCAGGCACCAAAGUCUAUGAAAUCUGUAAUUCAAGCGUUAUGGAUGCUGACACCUACGUGUGGAAAUUUG
Molecule: long non-coding RNA, 274 nt
Organism: Centruroides sculpturatus (bark scorpion)
Lineage: Eukaryota; Metazoa; Arthropoda; Arachnida; Scorpiones; Buthidae
Exons: 3
Source: RefSeq, a predicted model, not a curated record